CUACGGGGGGCUGCAGUGAGGAAUAUUGCACAAUGGGGGGAACCCUGAUGCAGCAACGCCGCGUGGAGGAUGACGCAUUUCGGUGUGUAAACUCCUUUUAUAUGUCAAGAAAAUGACGGUAGCAUAUGAAUAAGCACCGGCUAACUCCGUGCCAGCAGCCGCGGUAAUACGGAGGGUGCAAGCGUUACUCGGAAUCACUGGGCGUAAGGGACGCGUAGGCGGGUUGGAAAGUCAGGUGUGAAAUCCUACAGCUUAACUGUAGAACUGCACUUGAAACUUCUAAUCUAGAGUAUGGGAGGGAGAGAUGGAAUUAGUGGUGUAGGGGUAAUAUCCGUAGAUAUCACUAGGAAUACCUAAAGCGAAGGCGAUCUCCUGGAACAUUACUGACGCUAAGGCGUGAAAGCGUGGGGAGCAAACAGGAUUAGAUACCCGAGUAGUC
RNAcentral lists this ribosomal RNA (439 nucleotides) under uncultured bacterium. Its description in RNAcentral is "partial 16S ribosomal RNA". It matches the Rfam family "Bacterial small subunit ribosomal RNA", at positions 339 to 795 of the family's 1533-position model. The record is from RNAcentral.